Danio rerio (zebrafish) is the source of this 157-nucleotide non-coding RNA. The record is from Ensembl. NCBI's taxonomy places the organism in Eukaryota, Metazoa, Chordata, Actinopteri, Cypriniformes, Danionidae.
CAGGAACCUGCUUUCUUGAAAUUGCCUUCUUUUUUUCUUGGAUAGACAACAGCCAUCCGUGAAUUGUGGUGAACUGAAGAGGUUCAUCUGAUUGAAUUGAGCUUCGUGAAUAAAAGACUGAAGAACCCUGUGCGUUUUCUCAAGACUCCUUUGACAG